Cygnus olor (mute swan) is the source of this 6698-nucleotide long non-coding RNA. RefSeq lists it as uncharacterized. The transcript has 4 exons. The record is from RefSeq and is a predicted model, not a curated record. Lineage: Eukaryota; Metazoa; Chordata; Aves; Anseriformes; Anatidae.
GUGUUGGGGGUCUGUGUGCUUGGAGUUUGGGUGCUCAGGGUCCUGGGGGGUCUGGGUAUUAGGGAGCUGUGUGCUUGAGGUCCUAUGGGUCUGGGUGUUUGGGGUCUUGGUGCUGGGGCUGCAGGGUGUACAGGGUCCUGGGCAUGUGCAUCCAGGGCCAAUGGGGUCCAGGGUGUGUGGGGUCUAUGGGGAGCUGGGCACAUGGGGUCUGGGCACUGCGGGCUUUGGGAUCACCAGGCUCUUGGUGUGCUGCUCCUGGGCCACCAAGGAAGCGCACUGGGGCUCCGUGCGGGCAGUGAUGCCAGUCACUGCCGGGUACACAGCUGGCGGCUCCGGUAUCGCUGCCCUGGGUCUCCCCAGGCUUCCCCUUGUUUCUGAAAUGGGUGACGCCUUCCGUGCUUCCCAGCAUGAGGCGCGUGUGCACAGGCUUGCAGGGGAAAUAGCCAGGCAUGAGCUGAGAUGUCACGUUUCCUUACAGCCCUCUCUGAGAAGCCGCUUGGGGCGUUGGGGAGGGAGGGAGGCUGCAGCACGCUCCCCUUGACCCCGGAGAGAACGAGGGCGGCGAGGAACAACCGCUGCCUUUGUUGCGUGUGCCCUGAGCCACCAUCCAGCUGGAAAACAACACUGAAAUUAUGCUGGGUCAGGUUUGCGAGGCUAUUGCCCGGUGCUCACACCGAAGGCUGUGUCGCCGAGCAGGCCGGCAGGUGAACCGCUCCUGUCCAGUUCCAGAUGAAAACUCACCGCGGACAACCACGUCCUCCGCUUUCUGCUGACUGGAGCGUUUCUGUCCAGUUGCAUCCUAUUAUUUCAGGCAUGGGAUAAUUUCUGCCGAAGCACAGGAUCAAAAUAAAUGUCUUAAAAGUAGCUAAUUCUACAGCCCUGGCCUUGGGAGGGCGUCCUGCAUCGCCUCACCCACCCAUGCCUUGCCACCACUGCGUGCCGUGCUGUGGCCUGCUCCGAGAGACGGCUCUGACUGACCACAAACACCCAGUCUUUUCCCCAAUUUUGCCGUGACAUUGUCAUCAGUUCGGCUGCCCAGCACAGUGACGCCAGGGCAGCCAGGUUGCCAGCCUUUUCUACACAUUUUCCACACAUGCCUGGGUAAGCCAAGUUGUGUUUGAGCCCAGAGACAGGGGAUUAGCGUAGUCGCAAAGCCAAAUUUGCUGUUGUGUAGGCAAUUAAUGUCUCUGGAGUGGAAGCGGGACUGGUUUGCUCAGGCCAAGCUUUCCUCUGGAGGCAGAGCUACAGCCACGGUGUGCUUUGGGCCCCAGCAGUGGCUUACAAAUAGGCCAGAGCAUGCUGAGUCCUUGAGGUCUCACAGAGAGCAGCCGGAGGGUGGCCCAGAGGCUGGCCCCUGGUUGCAAAAUGUGUUUGUCACAUCCACUCAAAGCAGGAACCUGCCUGCAGCAAACACAGCCUGUUUGUGGGCUGCGCUGUGCUGGAGAAAAAGUGUUGUAUUUGCCCUGAAACUGCUUAUAGUGACAAAACCUGACAAACCAGGAAGGUUUUAAUUUUAUGAUGAUAUGCAUUUUAUGUGUAGACCUGCAGACACGACUUGUUUGUUUGCAGUCCAGCCUGGGUUUAAUCACUUUGAAUUAAGUAACUGAUCUUAUUACUUAUCUGACUAUGAGAGGGCUUAUCACAGGUUCCUUGGCACAUGAUGAGGAUUAGUCUGUCGGCACAACCAUGUGUGAGUAAUGCGACUCUUCGUUGCCUCGUGACGUGUCCUCUUGGAGCUAUUUUUUCUUUACCUUCCUCCAGCACGUUGAUCUUUUGGUUUCUCCAGCCAGUGACCAGCUAAAGCCCACUUAAUGUCACUGAAACCCAUCCACAUAAUGGGAAGAAGGGAAAAGCUCUGCUGUUGCAACAGACGUCAUGUGUUUCUUGAGGUUUUCAUUAAAUUAAGGGCAGGACCAUAUUGGCCAUAUUGGACUUAAUGGGCAUGGUUGUUGGUGUCAUUGAAAGCAAAAUGAAAACAGCGGUAUGAGUGAUAAUGUUGAGCAUAGUUAGUGUUUAGCACUGCUUUUGAGCAUGAGACAAAAAAGGGGCAAUUAAUACAUCCCUCAGUUUCUAAAAGGGCUGAAAGAUGCAGUUUUGACCCCAGUCCUUGCACUGACUUUUUGAGUGGGUUUGAUGCUGAACAUUUACCAGUUUCCUCUAUUGCAAGCAGGCUCGGGACCAAAGUUCAGCAGAGUUUGGACAACGGCCCCCAAACUGCAGCACACUGUAGCUGCAGGUUUGCUUUAAGCCUCCGGCUCUGGAGUCUCUGUAAACAAGUCAGGCGGAAACAACCGGCAUGCCGUUUAGCUAAAAUUAAACAUCUUGAGAGAAAAGUAAUGAGCGAGGAGAGCUGGGGCUUGCAGCGGAAGCGCUGGGCUGGAACGCACACCCCGUACAUCCACGUCCUGCAUAGGCGACCUCCAAGCAAAGGCUUUAAUCUCGCUGUGCCACAGCAUCCCCUCUGCAGACCUGGUGCCACAAUGCUGCUUUCAUCAUCGUAGUGUGGACUGCGACCUCGUUAGGCAGGGAAAUUAUGCAAAGGGCUUGCGUUUGGUCUUUGAGGUCCUGGCCCUGCAUGGGGACCCCUCUGCUCUGCAGUCUUUAGAUGGUGACAGAGCUGGGUCAUCUUGUCACCAGAAGGGACAAGGAGCCUGGUGCUGGAUGGGGAUCCUUCUCCCUUUGGGGAACCCGUGUGUGCCAGGCCAGGAUGCGGCUGGCAGCCCGGGGCACCUCCGGCUGUGCUGACUAACAGCUGCUGCUGACACCUCGUGGAAAGCUCACACAAGCAUUUUCUCCAGAAACCUUCCUGUUUCAUUUCCUCCGCCGCUGCGGGCCCUCCUCCGAGCAGCCUGUCUUCUGUCUAUGUCGUGGCUGUGGCAACCCGUCUGACACAGCUCAGGCACUGCUCCUGGCCCCCAGGUGGCUCACCGAAACCAUCAGCCAUCGCUCUGUCCGGGGGGGACUCGGGCCUUGAAACCCCGCUCGCCCCUGCGCGAUGGCGCUCGGCACCAUCCUCUUCUUCCUCCUCGCUCCCUUCGUAUGCUGCUCGCUCUCUGCUUCCCUGACUUGGAGUGAGUCAUUGCUUUACAGAGAGCCUGAACUGCCCCUAACCCCAGCUGGAUUGCUUUCUCUUCUGUGAGAUUGGGUCAGCUCCUUCCUGAUCCACAGCAUGAAAGAAAAUCUGCUUUGGAAACAAUGCAGUGAGAAAGCCUUCUCUCGUUACUUUCAUUUCCUGGCUGUCACGCAACUAACGUGACUCCCUUCCAAAAAUCUGCAUUCCAAAUGACGCUUGGGAACCCGAAACAAGCUCAGAAACCCUCCGUGUUGGAAAGGACACCUCUCCACCAGCUCUGGGGUGAGCUCUUGGCUGCCACUAGGUCUGUUGAAAUAACAAACAGGGAUGAAGGAAGAGGGCAGCUCUUCCAUGACCUUCCCUCGGUGAAAGGAGGCUGCGUCGCCGCAGUUAACUCCAGCAGCAACUGCAGGCUUAGCAGCUGCUGCUGGCAUCUCUGGGCUCCCUGAGGGUGCUGGUCUGUCGUUCCCAGUGUCUGGUCUGAUCUUGGUUUGUCUUGCUGCUUUUCUGCUGCUCAGCCCAUGCUGUCUUCAGACCCUUCCUUCUUCUCAGUGUGUGGAGGUCUCAAGUCUCUCUGAGGGUGCUUGCACUGGUAGGACAGCAGAGGCCUGAGGAGUGGUUGUGGCAGCAGACUAAAGGCAACUGAUUUUGGGGACAGAGCCUUGUAAAAGGGUAAAUCUGCUCUCCCCCAUUCCAUUCCUGUCUUUAUUUGGCACUUUUCUGAGUUUCGCUUCCGAUUACUCUACCUGGCGGUAGGCGUGGGCUCACAAAUUCCUCUCGCUAACCCAUGCAGAGUUGGACGCCCGGUUUGUAGUCACACACUGACGUGCUUCCUGAACACCCGAUGUGGCACAGGGCUUCGGAGUGAAUUAUUGCCAGGGCUCCUGGAGUAUUACCAAGCAAAACUGCCCCCGAGCAACAGCACUCUUGAAAAUGAUCAGCCAGUGCUUUCCUCGAAGAGCCCCUUGGAAGAAAAUGUUUGUAGUGCUUAGAGAAGAAGAAUUGCUUCAUUAAAAAGAAAAAAAAAGCCAAAAACCAAAAUGAAAUCUCACAAAGAGGGCCAAGUAUUACAAAAAUAGUGGGAAGUGUUUAAACCAAGUCUUUAACAGUUUAUUAGAUGUUCUAGUUAAUAGAUUUAUCUUUGACUCAUUAAAAAAAAUAAAUAAAUAGAGCCCAGCUUAGUUACGUACCCAAAAGUCAUACAUCAUUCCCUUCUGUCCCAACAGGAACCCCCCUAAGUCUCCAUCCCCAGCGGGUACUUGAGGGGCUUUUCCACCACGCAGUGUCCAGGGAACAGGGUCCUCACCGGGGGUGCCCAUAGGGACCGGUGCCCCAGCUGCAGCAGCUCUGGGCUCCCCCAGACACAUUUCUGGCUGGAACCCAGUGCCAGGGCUGGUCAGGAGCACCAAGGCAGGAUGGAUGGGGAGAGACCUCGCCUGGAGAGGCCGCAGGUAGAGCCGUGUGAAAGCCAUUUGCAGUCUGCUCCUAUAAUCAUGCACUGGUUGAUGUCAAAUACCGGGGUCUGCACCAGUAAGCAGAUGCUCUAAUUUGCACUCUACUGCAAAAUAAUCAUUUUAGUUACCCUACCCCAAACGUCAGACUCUUUCUGUCUUUUUAAUAUAUUUAGGGAUCAUUUUCUUAAGCUAUUUGAAACCGGGAAAACCAGCAGCUGGCUUUAAUUAAACGGGGACCAGGCUAUAAAUCCCACCCCCGGCGUUUCCUCCCCACGGAAGCUAACCUCUGAAGUCUGCUGCAACCUGCCUUGCUGCAGGAGCAAGUGCAUCAGCAGCCAAAGGUUACCCCCUGCAGUAAAUCCAAAGCUACUGCAGGUAAAACAUGAGCCGGGUUUCACUUAUCGGUGUAGAUUUCCAUGUUAAAAAAAAAAAAAAAAAAAGGGGGGGGGCGGGGGCAGGGAAAAGCAGCCUGCUCCAAAGUAAAAUCCAGAGUAAAUUCAACCAGCUUCAGCAACCCAGGUGGGGUUGGGAACGGUAGGAAGGAGCCUGCAGUUAGUGGUGCUUUUUCCUAUCCAGAAGAGUUUCCUGGGGCAAAACCUUAGGCUGAGGGUCUUGCUGUAGAGGCUGAUUGCACAGGUCAGCUCCAGCCCCUGUUUUGUCCCUCACCUGCAGCCAGACAUGAAUAAGCUGCCCCAAAAAAGAAAUGCGGUGCUGUCUGGGAUGUGCUGCUGUGACUGAUGUACUGUACUCAACACAUGUUGUGUCACCCUCUGGCUGUGUCAGCACCAGGAUGGGGCUGAAAGCUGACCGGAGGACUGGGCAGGCUCACGGAGGAAUGUGCUGUGGGAUGCUAAGUCUGCACCGUGGUCCAAGGAAGCCUGUGGCUACCACACCGUUGGAGGCAGAGGGAGUAUUUUUGGCAAGCAAUUUUGUGGGCUCUCUGUGCUCAUUUGGCCCCAUCGUCCAGAUACACCCAGGGCUGAUGGAUUAGUCCAGCCCCAUGUCUCUUGUGCUGUCAGGGGCAUCUGUGCCAGCACCUCCUGAAGAGGUUUGGGCUCGCUCUUGCUGCAAACUCUUGCCAAAUUCUGGCACACAUAGCUGAAUCUACUGCACAGAGAGAUGUCCUUUCCAGCUGAGAUGUCCUUUCCAGCUUUACCUGUUCAGAUCCUUUUCCAAAGGAAAGCUGAGCUCCUGAAUAAUGUGAAGGCCUUGAGCAUCACCUACACCAAGGUCUGCCCGUGCUGCAGAGGUGUCUACCCCAGCAGAUGCAUCAACCUACCCCAACCUGCCCCGUCCUGGGGAUGCAGCAGGGCUUGGCCAGCAGCUGGUAGGGGCUCACAAAGAAGUGUGUUUGGGGUGCAUCGUGCACCCCCCCAGCAAGCACAUGCAGACCCCCUGAGCUCUCUGUUGGCUGCUAGCACCGCCUUCAGCAUGACCCAGCCUGUGUUUUCUCAUGUGAAAUUCAAUAAAUUCAGCAUUUUCAGGAACUUGGCAUAAUCAGGGUUUUCAAUCUUCUCCUUCAUUGCCUUCUAAUAUACCCUCCUAACAAUUAACUCUGGGUGUUGGGAGAAUGCCAAAUGCAGGGUAAAAGACUUCGUUUUUCUUUCCCAUAAUUAAAUGUCAUGUUCACUGCUGUCUCUCCCACUCUAUUAAGUGUCCGUGCAUGGUCUAAAAUGCUCCUUGGUGAAUUAGCAUAAGGUCUGUCAGGACCCCACCGACGUUCCCCCCUCCUGCCAUAUCUGCUCAGCUCACAAAGGGCAGCCCAAGCAGGCAGAGGGGGCCCUGGGAAGGAGGAAGCAGCUUUUUAGUGCACUCCUGGAAAAAAACACACAUGCAAAACCUCUCCCUGGACCCCAGGCGUGCUAUGAAAAUACGCAAAGCACCCGAAUCGAAUGCUGCGAGGUGUGUGCUGCUGCUGCACUGUCCAGCCCCACGGAAAAAGUGCCAGUAUGGAUCCCCUUAUUGUUAACCAGCAGCUAUCCCAUAUCCAUUCACUGCUUUGCCUUCAAAACAAGGAGGCAAAAGUUGUUAUGACACUUUCUCCCUGACCUUCCAGCUGGGAAGGAAGUGAUGGAGCAAGGACAGCGGUGACGGGGUGUCUCCUCGCGCUGCGCUCUGUGCCACCACAGCUCUUCUUGUAGGAACCUUGUCUUGUGGGGGGUUGACAGCUU